Long non-coding RNA from Oxyura jamaicensis (ruddy duck), 1343 nucleotides. RefSeq lists it as uncharacterized. The transcript has 2 exons. NCBI's taxonomy places the organism in Eukaryota, Metazoa, Chordata, Aves, Anseriformes, Anatidae. The record is from RefSeq and is a predicted model, not a curated record.
GAGGAGGUGCGGGAGGCCCGUGCCACCCACAGCCUCCCUCUCGCGCAGAGGCCGGGCUCUCCAGAGCAGAGGACCCGCAGGCUUAUGCCGCUGCAUCUAGCUCCGUCUCUCCUGCCAAAUGGCUGCACGCUGCCGGGAAAACAGAUAAGAGAUGAAGUUAUCAACCUGGUACCUGAGCAGCAGUGAAGAACUGCCAAAGAGGAAGUGCCACCACAAACAACAACUUGAGGAGAUAAAUGACAAUGUGAUCAGUUUAUUCUCUAAACAUACUAUUUGUUAAAAUUAACUCUCAGAUCUAUCAAAGAGGAGCAGGCGCCGUGACACAAGUAUUCAUUAACCUCCCACAGUGCCUGUUGAGUCAUCCGUUCUAGUUGAAAAAAAAAUAAAAUAAAAUAAGAACAAAAAUCAAUAUACCUACUCAAAUCCUGCCCUGGUCAGCAGACACCCCAAAUCACAGCCCACCACAGGUGCCAUUAUUGCAGUUCUUAGUUUUAUUCCAGGCUCUCAUACUUCAGCAAGACUGUUGUCCAGAUAGGAAUGAGAAGUUGAGAUUCUUUUCCUAGUCUCCAGGUAAGCCUCAAUCCCGAAGCAACAAAACCAUUGAUGACAGCAGGAUUAAACCCAGGCAGGUGACCUAAACUCGUUGAUCUUGUGGAGGGCAAAAAUAAUAAAUUAAGGAGAGUUGGUAGUGCCUCUGAGAACUGCCAAAGGACACAGACGCCAACACAGACAAGGAACAGAAUAUGUAGCAGCAGGAAGAUAGUGGCCUAAAAAGAACAGAUUAAAGUGCCCUUAAAUAAAUUAGAGGUCUUCAAAUUGACUGGGCACAAUGAAUUUCAACCCAGGAUUCUUAAAUAGCCACUUACGCAAUCUCUGAAUCUCGACAGUCACCUCUGAGCAUGCAAGAAGAGAAGAUGAGGUGCCAAAAGGCUGGAAAAGAGCAAACAUAAUACCUUGCUCUGCAGAGGGGGUAAAGCAGAGCUAAGGAGUUGCCAGCCAGUCAAUUUGUCUUCAAUCCUCAGAAAAACACCAGAACAAGUAAUCAAACUAUUUGUUAGUGCCUAGAAGAUAACAUUGAAAUGAAUAGCUGCUAGUAUGGAUUUGUAGAGAAUAAAUCCUGUCAAAUCAAUUUAAUUUCCUUCUGCCAUAGGGCAACAGGCCUUGUGAACAGAAGCAAAGCAAGAGAUGUCACGUUUCUUGAUUUACUAAAGCUUUUGGUGCUGUCUCACAUGUCACUCUCAUAUGCACACCAACAAAACACAGUCACGAUGAAAUGGUUGUGAGACAGACACAAAGCGGUUGGACACGCAGAGAAAGUUAUCAUUUGCCCACAGUGAAAGCAA